GUGCUCAUUUUUAUAGCAUAUAUCCUAAAAUUGGGACGAUACAGAGAAAAUUAUCAUGACCCCUGCUCAAGGAUGACACAUAAAUUCCUAAAGUGUUCUUUUU
Molecule: small nuclear RNA, 103 nt
Organism: Perognathus longimembris pacificus (Pacific pocket mouse)
Lineage: Eukaryota; Metazoa; Chordata; Mammalia; Rodentia; Heteromyidae
Source: RefSeq, a predicted model, not a curated record